This 751-nucleotide unclassified non-coding RNA is filed under the name Hevea brasiliensis (rubber tree). The record is from RNAcentral. Lineage: Eukaryota; Viridiplantae; Streptophyta; Magnoliopsida; Malpighiales; Euphorbiaceae.
GUAUAUGAAGGGACAGAAAGACUUGUAUCAUCAUUUGCAUGGCGAAGGCCAGUCUGAUAUUUUCUCAAAUUAAUAACUUACAGAAUGCUGGACUCUUUUGCAUCAAACAAAUCAUGCAUUUACUUGUUUUGUAGAUGAUAAAGGGGGCGCUAGAUGUGCAAAUGUUGUGGAAAUAUUUUUUUCUUCUUUUUAUUUUUUUUCCUUUUGAAUGUAUGUAGCAUACAUGAUCUUUGAUGAAUGUAGAAUACAUGAUCUAAGAUCUACCGUUUCUCAGUGAGGUUGAGUAGAAACUUCGGGGAAUUCAUAAUUGAUAACCGGAUGCAUUUAUAGUUCAGGAAUCACAGUGGCAUGUUAGUUGUGCUACACUUUAUUUGUAAGCCUGUGGCAAUUUGUUGCUCUGAUUGCAUUUUAGUCCUAGGUUAUUUGCUCAGGACGAGUUUUGCAUUCCUGACUGAUUUUUGGUACGUUGGUUUUACGUAGUGCCCUUGAUCCUCCGUAAAUUGCGGAACGUUUCAUAAAGAGCUGAGUGACGUAUUUUACAUGAAAGGAAUUAUCUCAACUGAUCUCAUCAUCAUAUUGAGUCGGCUUAUUGUUUUGUAAAUUUUACUGCGUAGACAGUAAUAAAAAUCCGAAACCAAAAACUUGAUUUUCAUCGCAAAGUCUGGGGAUAGUAGAUUGGGUUGACACAAAUGGACAUUUCAAUCAGCAUGCAAUUGAUACUGAGUAGUCAAUAUAUAUAUAUAUAUAUAUA